RNAcentral lists this ribosomal RNA (292 nucleotides) under uncultured bacterium. RNAcentral's name for it is "partial 16S ribosomal RNA". The record is from RNAcentral.
GGACUACCGGGGUUUCUAAUCCCAUUUGCUCCCCUAGCUUUCGUUCCUCAGCGUCAGUUACAGCCCAGCAAGCCGCUUGCGCCACCGGUGUUCUUCCCAAUAUCUACGCAUUUCACCGCUACACUGGGAAUUCCGCUUGCCUCUACUGCACUCCAGUCCACCAGUAUCCAAUGCUGUACCAGGGUUGAGCCCCAGCCUUUUACAUCAGACUUAGUGAACCACCUACGAACUCUUUACGCCCAAUAAAUCCGGACAACGCUCGCAUCCUACGUCUUACCGCGGCUGCUGGCAC